This 465-nucleotide ribosomal RNA is filed under the name Vreelandella stevensii. RNAcentral's name for it is "partial 16S ribosomal RNA". It matches the Rfam family "Bacterial small subunit ribosomal RNA", at positions 338 to 795 of the family's 1533-position model. Lineage: Bacteria; Pseudomonadati; Pseudomonadota; Gammaproteobacteria; Oceanospirillales; Halomonadaceae. The record is from RNAcentral.
CCUACGGGGGGCUGCAGUGGGGAAUAUUGGACAAUGGGGGGAACCCUGAUCCAGCCAUGCCGCGUGUGUGAAGAAGGCCCUCGGGUUGUAAAGCACUUUCAGUGAGGAAGAACGCCUGGUGGUUAAUACCCAUCAGGAAAGACAUCACUCACAGAAGAAGCACCGGCUAACUCCGUGCCAGCAGCCGCGGUAAUACGGAGGGUGCGAGCGUUAAUCGGAAUUACUGGGCGUAAAGCGCGCGUAGGUGGCUUGAUAAGCCGGUUGUGAAAGCCCCGGGCUCAACCUGGGAACGGCAUCCGGAACUGUCAAGCUAGAGUGCAGGAGAGGAAGGUAGAAUUCCCGGUGUAGCGGUGAAAUGCGUAGAGCUCGGGAGGAAUACCAGUGGCGAAGGCGGCCUUCUGGACUGACACUGACACUGAGGUGCGAAAGCGUGGGUAGUACACAGGAUUAGAUACCCCUGUAGUC